RNAcentral lists this long non-coding RNA (2223 nucleotides) under Helianthus annuus (common sunflower). RNAcentral's name for it is "hypothetical non coding rna". Lineage: Eukaryota; Viridiplantae; Streptophyta; Magnoliopsida; Asterales; Asteraceae. The record is from RNAcentral.
CCCUAAUCUUUUCCAGCCUCCAUCUUCCUUCUUCCACCAGUCAAGCAAAUCAAAUGAAAUGGUAGUUUUUCUCAUCUUCAUCUUCUGACAAAUGGAUCUUAUUUAUCUUCUUUCUCACACAGCAACAAAUGACAACCUAAUUUCUGCUAAACCCUAAAACCCACCAUCGCAAAUUUGCUUUGUCUGUUCUUGAUCGAUUCCUCUUUGAUAAUUGAAGGUCCACAUAUAAAGACUGAGUGUUAGAUGUUGGAACCGGACUUGAAAAAUUCGAAAUAAAUUUCUACUUUUGUAGUGGUAUAAUUUGAAUCAUCCUUGAUGUUCCGGCUGUUCAAGACAAUGAAUUGGUUUUGAUUCGGCACAUCAAGAUACUAAGUAACAAUGGUGCCAUAAACUUUUGGGAUGCAUCAUCUCUAUUUCUUAUUCCAAUCCUAUCAUUCAAUCAAACAGAGGAGAUUAAUGAGAUUGAGAGUGUGUUCAUGUGCAACCAGGUUCUGGAAUCGGUUGGGUAACGGGUCAGAUGGGUAUAUUUGUUCAUGUCUCAAGAAAUGCAAAGAUUGGGAUAAGCCAGGGAUGUGGGUAUGCGACCAUGAGCUCACUUGGAGAAUCCAAAGUUGAAUUGCUACUCUAGAUGGUUCAAACAAUAAACCUUUGAGAAGUUGUAAAAUGCCCCACACAAGAGCCUCGAGUGGAGUUUCCUGUAUAUAGAAGGAAUUGACGCCAUAUGGGUACCGUACAAGUAUUAAUCUUCAUUUCAUGUACCAGUUCAUUCCAGAAUGACAUCGAUCAACAAUUUCCAGAAAUGCCAGUGAUUUCUUCAACUCCGACUACUGUCGAAAAGACUUCAAGGAUUGCACUGAUCGCCGCCCAUAGAAUCGUUCGAGCUCUCGAUUACGAUGUUGAUGAAUUUUAGGCCACCUGCGACCCAGUGAUAGGUUUGAUGCAACUUAAAAUACGAGCCUGUUAGGUCUUUAAGUUGGCAGGUGUGAUACUGCAUGCUGGCGUGAUGAGCGUUUCUUCAUCAGGUUCUAGACAGGUUUUGGGUGGAGAUCUUGCUCGUAUGAUACAAAUCUAAUAUAGCCUUUUUCAUUUAAAAAUGGGCACCAUGUUUCAAACUUUGAGGACUUAAAUAGGGGCGGGUCUGCUUGGACAACUGGUGUAAGAAGUAAUAGAAUUAAAACAAAACCCUUGGAAUAUUGGAAGGGUGAAAGACCCUUGUAUGCAUGAGUUCAUAACAGUUAUGUUAAAUAUCCAACGGGUCAAACGGGUAUAAUAAUAAACAUGUCAAUGAGUCGAGUAUGUGAAACAGAGCCAUUGAAAAUGGUUUCUCUUGUAAAGACUGUGAAGAUGAGUAUGAAAAUGUAAGUGAAGAUGGAGGUGCAUUUUCUAGGUCCGUACAAGUUGUAAAAUUGAACAAUGUUGAGAGAAAUAAUCAUUCUUUAAAAGAAAGAAAACCAGUGAGUUUUGUGAAAUCCAAUUUUAGUAGAAGCAGUACAAGUAGAAACGAGUGGUUUAAGUGCCAUCAAUGUAGGAGAACCGACACAAUAACAGUUUCUUCCACCAAGUGUAAAGAAAAAGUAUAUCGUAUCCAAUGCAUCAAGCAAUGGUAUCCCCAAUUGUCAAAAGAAGAUUUUGCAGAGCUAUGCCCAUUUUGACGUGGAAACUACAACUGCAACUUGUGGUUACAGUCCAACAUUAAGAUGCCGAAAAUUAAAUUUGAUAAUGAUGUGAAGUUGCAACAUCUUCAUUAUUUAAUCAAUUCACUCCUUUCGUUUUCUAAACAAAUCUGUAAAGAACAAGAAGAGGAAAAUAUCGGUGGAAGCAUCUUCUCGAGGGGUAUCACAGUCUUCACUUAAAAUUAGGCUGGCAGAUUGUUACACUGAUGAGUGUGUCUAUUGCAACCAUUGCUCAACAUCAAUAUCUGAUCUCCAUAGAAGUUGUUCAAAAUGCUCAUAUGAGCUAUGUCUUAAUUGCUGUCGGGAAAUACGGAACAAUGAACCUAUCGUUCAAAGAAAAGUAGACUUUGGGUACUACUUUAGAGGUUUUGACUAUGUUCAUGGGGGGAUCCUUAAUGAAUACCACUUUUCUUAAAAAUGCACCGAUGUAUGUAUAAAAUAUUAUUUUAACCCAUUUUUAUAUUUGUUUGGUGUAUAGAGUUUAGCAACUUAAAAUUCUUUAUUAAAUAGAUAUUGAUUUAAUUGAUUGGGGUGAAUGGCAAAAUGAAUU